This 1158-nucleotide long non-coding RNA is filed under the name Vigna radiata. RNAcentral's name for it is "long non-coding RNA (VRAD_LNC012042)". The record is from RNAcentral. Lineage: Eukaryota; Viridiplantae; Streptophyta; Magnoliopsida; Fabales; Fabaceae.
ACUAGUCCUCAUUUGGGGAUUUAAGGAGUGCAUUGCAACCCCUAAGUCUAAAAAACCAAGAUUUUAAAAAAUUUCCAAAUCUUGGUACCAACCACCAACUUAGUCCAGUCUCACCAACAAAUAUAGCUUGCUUUAAAAGCAACUAAAUUGAAACAUAACUUGCACCUAUAUUUUGCACUAGUCGUCAUUUGGGGAUUUAAGGAGUGCAAUGUAGCACCUAAAUCUAAAAAACCAAGACUUUCAAAUGUUUCCAAAUCUUGGCACGAAGCACCAACUUAGUCCAGUCUCACAACCAAACAAAGCUUGCUUGAAAAGAAAUUAAAUCUAAACAUUUCUUGCACCUAUAUUUUGACACUAGUUAUCAUUUGGGGAUUUAAAGAGUGCAUUCCAGCCCCUAUGUCUAAAAAACCAAGACCUUCAAAAAUUUCCAAAUCUCGGUACCAAUCACCAACUUAGUCCAGUCUCACCACCAAACAUAACGUGCUUAAAAAGCUACUAAAUUGACACAUUUCCUGCACCUACAUUUUGACACUAGUCGUCAUUUGGGNAUAUAAAGNGUGCAUUGCAGCCCCUAAUUCUAAAAAACAAAGACUUUCAAAUAAUUCUAAAUCUUGGCACGAAGCACCAACCUAGUCCAGUCUCACAACCAAACAUAGCUUGCUUUAAAAGCAACUAAAUUGAAACAUUUGUUGCGCCAUUAUUUUGACACUAGUCGUCAUUUGGGGAUUAAAGGAGUGCAUUGCAGCCCCUAAGUGUAAAAAACCAACACUUUCAAAUGUUUCCAAAUCUUGGCACAAAGCACCAACUUAGUCCAGUCUCACAACCAAACAUAGCUUGUUUUAAAAGCAACUAAAUUGAAACAUUUCUGGCACCAAUAUUUUGACAUUAGUCGUCAUUUGGGGAUUUAAGGAGUGCAUUACAGCGCCUAAGUCUAAAAACCCAAGACUUUAAAAUGUUUCCAAAUGUUGACACGAUGCACCAACUUAGUCCAAUCUCACAACAAAACAUAGCUUGGUUGAAAAGAAACUAAAUUGAAACAUUUCUUGCACCUAUAUUUUGACACUAGUUAUCAUUUUGGGAUUUAAAGAGUGCAUUCCAGCCCCUAAGUCUAAAAAACCAAGACCUUCAAAAAUUUCCAAAUCUUGGUACCAAUCACCA